GAGGGAACACCCUCUUCCCUUUCUUCAGCCUCCUCACCGAGUCUUGGGGCCCAUUCACCACCAGACCCCCACUCCUCCCUCCAAAUCCGGUUCCUUUUUGACAGGACUCCGUCUAAAUCUCUGGUCUUUGACACUGCAAGGAGCAGGCACAGGCCUGCUUCCCCUGAAAUAAAGCGGAUUUACUGCCCUGAUUUAGGUGGAGCCAAGCAAACAGGAGUCUGGGAUCCGCCGGCAGCCCUCCCUCCGCUGGGGGACGUGAACGCAGGCUCCCGGCGCCUCCGAGGUCCCUGCGCGGCGCCGUCUCCCUCCCGGCCCGGGCCUGGGCUCCGCGUCGCCGCCGCCACCCUGCAGACAGAGCAACGUGGCCCUGCUCCGUGGCCCUGGGAGUCCCCGUGCGCCCCUGAGUCGGGACCCCGGACCUGUUUCAUUGUGGGCGGCUGCUCUAAAGGGGUCUCCCUGCGCCCCUGCCAAGAGACACCUUUGCCAGGUCCUCGCCCUUUGCUCCCCCGGUCGAAGCGCUCCACGAGAUGUGGACAGGUGCUCGGUUCAUUCAUCCCCCCCCCCCCCCGUUCGUAUCGAGUUGCAAAGCAGGGAGGGGCUCGGAGCACAAUUCCAGACGGGGUUCGUGGGGCUGGGGGCGGUUUACCUCUCGCUAACCGGGGCCUGGGGGAGCGUAGCAAUACCCCCGUUGGCCCCCGCCCCGUCCCCCACCCCCGCAAGGACGCUGGCCUCUCUUGCUCGGCUUUGAUUUGUGCCAAGCGCUCCUCCGCGGCGAGAGAGCGAGCAACAACGUGUCGCACGGCGACCCGUGGAACAGCGCCCGGGCCGGGGCUGCGGCAUCCAGAGCGCGCCAGGCCUCCCGGGGCCGCCGCACGGGGGCCGCGGCAGAGCGCGUGGAAUUUUCCAGCGCCCGGCCCAGCCUCGCAGAGGCGCGCCGCAGGGGCGGGGCGGGGGCGCCUGUGCCUGCGUGGGCGCGGGCAUGAGAUCAGCCAGGGGGCCCGCGUCGGUGGGCUCGGCGGGCCGGCGGAAGGUGGGCGGGGGCGGUGCCCGUCUCCACGGCUGUCCGCGCUGUGUCCCAGCCCCGAGAGAGCCUUUCCCUGGCGCCUUCCUCGCUGCGUGGAAAAUGCUCCAGUGCGCAGGGGGAGAUCGGGCAGAAUUUGCCUCGUAGUAAGAUUCCCCCUGGAAACUGCGGAAAAAUAA
Long non-coding RNA from Oryctolagus cuniculus (rabbit), 1200 nucleotides. The record is from Ensembl. Lineage: Eukaryota; Metazoa; Chordata; Mammalia; Lagomorpha; Leporidae.